AUAGAAAAAAUAACUGUAUAGUCAUUUUGUAUCAAAGUAAUUUGCAUACUAAAGUUAUCCUAUUUUUUUCGGGUAAACAAUCUUCUCGUUUGAAAUCGGUCCUCUCUUAUGCUAAAAUCUCACCCAAAUCGAAAUCCCUCAAAUCAAAAUGUGAAUCCCUAAUCUUCUCGUUUGAGUUGUCUCUAUUGACUCAAAGCUUCUUCAACUUCAAGUACUCAAGAACUUGUACACAGCUGGGGAAGUCGGCAAAGGGCAAGAAAAUAUAGAAGUGAAAUUUUAACAACUCAGGGACAAGGCACUUAAACAGUGGUUCAAGGAUGGUGUCAAGCAAGGAGCAGUUACAAGGCACUUAAUAUUUUAUCUUUUUUGGGAUAUGUAUAUGCGUACAAUUACAAUGCACAAUGAAGUGCCGGGUAGUAUAUAUGUAAUUGACUUUUUAGUAAUGAUCAUAUUUAUAAUAUUCGGCUUGAGAAAUU
This is a long non-coding RNA of Nicotiana tabacum (common tobacco), 476 nucleotides long. RefSeq lists it as uncharacterized. Lineage: Eukaryota; Viridiplantae; Streptophyta; Magnoliopsida; Solanales; Solanaceae. The record is from RefSeq and is a predicted model, not a curated record.